CCUACGGGAGGCUGCAGUGGGGAAUAUUGGACAAUGGGGGCAACCCUGAUCCAGCCAUGCCGCGUGUGUGAAGAAGGCCCUCGGGUUGUAAAGCACUUUCAGUGAGGAAGAACGCCUGGUGGUUAAUACCCAUCAGGAAAGACAUCACUCACAGAAGAAGCACCGGCUAACUCCGUGCCAGCAGCCGCGGUAAUACGGAGGGUGCGAGCGUUAAUCGGAAUUACUGGGCGUAAAGCGCGCGUAGGUGGCUUGAUAAGCCGGUUGUGAAAGCCCCGGGCUCAACCUGGGAACGGCAUCCGGAACUGUCAAGCUAGGGUGCAGGAGAGGAAGGUAGAAUUCCCGGUGUAGCGGUGAAAUGCGUAGAGAUCGGGAGGAAUACCAGUGGCGAAGGCGGCCUUCUGGACUGACACUGACACUGAGGUGCGAAAGCGUGGGUAGCAAACAGGAUUAGAUACCCUAGUAGUC
RNAcentral lists this ribosomal RNA (465 nucleotides) under Vreelandella stevensii. Its description in RNAcentral is "partial 16S ribosomal RNA". It matches the Rfam family "Bacterial small subunit ribosomal RNA", at positions 338 to 795 of the family's 1533-position model. The record is from RNAcentral. Lineage: Bacteria; Pseudomonadati; Pseudomonadota; Gammaproteobacteria; Oceanospirillales; Halomonadaceae.